This 45-nucleotide non-coding RNA is filed under the name Schistosoma mattheei. The record is from RNAcentral. Lineage: Eukaryota; Metazoa; Platyhelminthes; Trematoda; Strigeidida; Schistosomatidae.
AUUCAGCUGACGAGUCCCAAAUAGGACGAAACUCACGUCUUUGAU